This 33-nucleotide small RNA is filed under the name Bombyx mori (domestic silkworm). RNAcentral describes it as "ovarian small RNA-14822". Lineage: Eukaryota; Metazoa; Arthropoda; Insecta; Lepidoptera; Bombycidae. The record is from RNAcentral.
CUGAAAUGAAGAAACCGUUCGCAAGUAUACCGC